CCCUUAGAUGUUCUGGGCAGCACGCGCGCUACAAUGGUCUUCGCAAACGGAUGCAUUCUCGAAGGAGAAUGCCAAUCUUGGAAUCUAUGCCUUGGUCGGGACAGUUGCUUGCAAUUUUUCGACUCGAACCAGGAAUUCCUUGUAAUCGUGAUUCAUCACAUCACGAUGAAUACGUCCCUGCCCUUUGUACACACCGCCCGUCGCUCCUACCCAUCGAAGAGUUAGGUGAAUUGUUUUGAUCGAUAAGAUUUGACUAUGGUCAACUCUCGUUGUGAAAUUCUGUGAAUCUGACUGUUUAGAGGAAGGAAAAGUCGUAACA
RNAcentral lists this ribosomal RNA (319 nucleotides) under uncultured eukaryote. RNAcentral describes it as "partial 18S ribosomal RNA". It matches the Rfam family "Eukaryotic small subunit ribosomal RNA", at positions 1470 to 1796 of the family's 1831-position model. The record is from RNAcentral.